AGAACGCAGACUUCUCCCUGUGCCAGUUCAGGUUCCUGCAGAGGCUUCUCUUGGUCCACGGACACUGGUCUUACAUUCGCAUCUCUCUCUUCCUGAGAUAUUUCCUGUAUAAGACCUGCAGCUUUGCCCUGGUGCACAUUUGGUUUGGCCUCUUUAACGGCUUCAGUGCUCAGUCUCUGUAUGAGACUUGGUUCAUCGCCUUUUACACAGUUUUCUACACAUCGAAUCCUAUUUUGUGCGUGGCCUUCUUUGAAAAGGACGCGAGUGCGGAGGGCAUUUUGAAUUUCCCAGAGCUGUACAUGUCGGGACAGAGGAAUGAACAGUCCAGCCCCUUGAUGCUGCUGCUGAGCCUACUGUACGCCGUCUACUCGUCGCUCAUGCUGUUCUUCAUCCCGUGUGGCGUCUUCUUCGACACGCCGUACGACUUCCAAACUAUGUCCGUCACCGUUGCCAUGGCAGUGACAUUUGCAGCCACCAUAGAGAUCGUGCUUCAGACCAAGCAAUGGACCAAGUUUAACGUCGCGUGUGUGUGCGUGUCCGUGGCGCUGUACUUUCUCGUCACCAAAAUCACUCAGAGUCAAAUGCUGUUUGAGAGAUCACCGUUCGACUAUUACUUUAUUGGUACGAGCCGUUUAUCCAAGUCAACACGUGUUUGGCAUGAAGAUCUUAUUCGCACAGUUUUCAGCGUAUAUGUAGAUGCAGUUCCUCGGUCAGUCUGUCAUCAUUGUGCGCGUGUGCAAAUGUGCCUCUACAGGAGCAGCUGA
RNAcentral lists this long non-coding RNA (764 nucleotides) under Neogobius melanostomus (round goby). Its description in RNAcentral is "lncRNA (ENSNMLG00000007475.1)". The record is from RNAcentral. Lineage: Eukaryota; Metazoa; Chordata; Actinopteri; Gobiiformes; Gobiidae.